UACGAAGGGGGCUAGCGUUGCUCGGAAUCACUGGGCGUAAAGGGUGCGUAGGCGGGUCUUUAAGUCAGGGGUGAAAUCCUGGAGCUCAACUCCAGAACUGCCUUUGAUACUGAAGAUCUUGAGUUCGGGAGAGGUGAGUGGAACUGCGAGUGUAGAGGUGAAAUUCGUAGAUAUUCGCAAGAACACCAGUGGCGAAGGCGGCUCACUGGUCCGGUACUGACGCUGAGGUGCGAAAGCGUGGGGAGCAAACGGG
Molecule: ribosomal RNA, 253 nt
Filed under: uncultured bacterium
Lineage: Bacteria
Description: partial 16S ribosomal RNA
Rfam family: Bacterial small subunit ribosomal RNA
Source: RNAcentral